UUCAUAAUAAGUUAUGCAAUUUACAGCAAAAGAAAUUAGUGCUUAAAUGUUACCACAAAUAACAGAAAAAAAUUCCAAUCAACUAUCGAUAAAAUUGUGAUUGCUUGAUCCGUUAUGAAUGUCAGCAGCCUGUCUGAUUUGGUCACACUAUUCGCGCAAUUCCAAGAAAAACAAAUUAACCAAUAGGCUUUUAGUGAUUGUGAGGAUCCAUUUGUUGCUGAGAGUGAGAAAAGAUUGGCCAAUUCACAGCGAAGCAAGGGACGUAUGACCAGAAAAAUACAAUUAAAAAGCAGGUCCUGUGAAUUCCACUGGGGAGACAGAAGAUUUGAAUGCAGAACAACAAGAAUAUAAAGUUAUGUUACGAUAACAUUCUCCAAUGGAUAACCAACAAACGAAGUACAAACCAACAAAUGUUGAUUUGAAAACACAUCGUUGUCUAUAAUUCAACUUUAUAUAACUAUUCAUGGCGGUUAAAUCGUAUAAGUAUGGGCUUGAUUUCAAAUCAACUUGAAAGUAGUAUACAAAAUGAAAAGAUAUUAAUUCUUGCGAAGUAUCUGCUAGUCGUGUCAUUCGCCAUGAACUCUUAGCCUCUUCAUCUUUUUUUCUUUUUUUGGCUGUUGCAACGUCAACAAGCGAACAAGCUAAAGCGAAUCCCAAAGCUGCUAGUGAGGAUGGAUGUGGAUGGUGGCCAGCACAAGUGCAUCAUCCGGAAAGCAAAGCAAAUGCCCCAUAAAACAAAUGUGCAAAUAAAAAUGUUUAUAAACAGCGUCGACGGCAGAGAGCACUUCACAAUUUUCGGGAUGUGCGCGACAGCGAUUCACUUCGAGGAUUUGGAGGCGAAGAUGGUGGGUUAGAGUUUUGGUUGGAUUGCGUUGGAGGACUCUCGCGGGAGAAGUCAGCUUUUGCAAAGGAAGGGGGAGCAACAGGAUAAGCUGGUAAUUCAAGCCAGAAGGUCACAAAUUAAGUCAACAAAAUCGGAGAAACCGCAAAGAUUUGUGAAAGAGGAAGGAAAAGACCUUCAAACUUUAUAAUUGAAAGUUGCGCGCCAUA
Molecule: long non-coding RNA, 1050 nt
Organism: Drosophila simulans
Lineage: Eukaryota; Metazoa; Arthropoda; Insecta; Diptera; Drosophilidae
Exons: 4
Source: RefSeq, a predicted model, not a curated record